Molecule: small nuclear RNA, 172 nt
Organism: Bacillus rossius redtenbacheri
Lineage: Eukaryota; Metazoa; Arthropoda; Insecta; Phasmatodea; Bacillidae
Product: U1 spliceosomal RNA
Exons: 1
Source: RefSeq, a predicted model, not a curated record
UCACUGAACAUGCACACACAAAACACCAAAAAAAAAAAAAAAAAAAAACACACCCCCAGGGUGAGGCUCUUCCCUUGCACUUCGGUUGAGCUGACCUCUGCGAUUACCCCAAAUGUGGGUAACUCGGGCGCGUAAUUUUUGGUAGUCGGGACUGCGUUCGCGCUGUCCCGGU